GUGCCUAAAUUUAAUGAGUAAGGAAAACCAUGUUAGUCUUGCUAAUCGCUUGACUGGUUGCUUCUAAGGCAGUGGGAUGAAAUAUCAUUAAUACCGCUUUCUUUUUAGUGGUUUGGUGGUAUGGAAUCUCAUAUGAAGCGUGAAUUUUUGAUAGGGUACAGGUCGUCCCUUUGAACUCAUGAGCUUACUACUUUUUCGAGCUGUAGAGUUUGGGUGAAGCGAUUUGCCCU
Molecule: small nuclear RNA, 230 nt
Filed under: Glossina brevipalpis
Lineage: Eukaryota; Metazoa; Arthropoda; Insecta; Diptera; Glossinidae
Description: U12 minor spliceosomal RNA
Rfam family: U12 minor spliceosomal RNA
About the family: Although the U12 sequence is very divergent from that of U2, the two are functionally analogous.
Source: RNAcentral